GGGGAUAUACAUAUAAGACGAGAAGACCCCAUGGAGCUUUAAACCUGACAGCACCCGCUCAUUCUAUACCCCAUUAUUUGCCCGACCCCUGUCUGCUCAGUUUUAGGUUGGGGUGACCACGGAGUAUAAAAUAACCUCCAUGAAGAAGGGGAUAUUUCCCUUAUUAGAGAACCACACUUCCAAGAACUAAUAAAUUAAUUUUCAAUGACCCGAUACCCGAUAAUCGAUCAACGAACCAAGUUACCCUGGGGAUAACAGCGCAAUCCACCCUGAAAGCCCUUAUUAACAGGUGGGUUUACGACCUCGAUGUUGGAUCAGGGUAUCCCAGUGGUGCAGCAGCUACUGAGGGUUCGUUUGUUCAACGAUUAAAACCCU
RNAcentral lists this ribosomal RNA (375 nucleotides) under Boophis quasiboehmei. Its description in RNAcentral is "partial 16S ribosomal RNA". It matches the Rfam family "Bacterial large subunit ribosomal RNA", at positions 2076 to 2597 of the family's 2925-position model. Lineage: Eukaryota; Metazoa; Chordata; Amphibia; Anura; Mantellidae. The record is from RNAcentral.